AGAUUUCCUCAUUAGAUUGCAAUUUACAAGCUCUAAUUUUGAUUCAAUGUUUUGAUUCAAUUCCUAUACAUUUUGCUAUUCAGCUAUUAUGUCAAUUUUGAGAAUUUCACUCUCUACUAAUGCUUAUUCAUUAAAAGAACCAGCGUAUGAGAGUAAUUUCUUUCAGGGCUAUACUGUCACACUAUAUGAUUUGGAUUCACUAAAAAUAAUCAGCUCACAAGAAUCAAUUGCUUCUGGAAUCAGGUUACAUUGGUCACGCUGUAUGUUUUUAAUUCUCUAAAAAGAACCGGCUUAAAAGAGUCACUUGAUUUGGGAAUCGGGCUACACUGAUCAUGCUGUAUGCUUUUCAUUCACUUAAAAUAACUGGCUCACAAGAGUUAUUUGUUUGUUGGGAAUCAGGCUACACUGGUCACGCUGUAUGUUUUUGAUUCACUAAAAAGAACCUGCUAUUAAGCGUUACUUAUUUUGGGAAUCGAGCUAUAUUGGUUAUGCUGUAUGUUUUUGAAUCACUAAAAAAUAACUGGUUCAUAAGAGUCAUUUGCUUGUGACUUGGGCUACACUGUUCAUUGUUUUUCAUUCAUUUAAAAUAACUGGCUCACAAGAGUAAUUAAUUGAAUUGAAUUUAAUUGAAUUAUUUGUUUGCUGGGAAUCAGGCUACACUGGUCACACUGUAUGUUUUUGAUCAUAAGAGUCAUUUAAAGUUGAGUGAGUUAAACUUUUACAUAAUUUUAUACAUGAAUCACUUCAAACUACUUAUGCUUCCUUAGAAUGGUACUGUAUGCUUCAUCAAGAAGUUUAUUUGAAAACUCCUCAAAAUCCUAAGGUCUAUUCUCUUUUUUCGUCUUCCUGAGGUGGUUAGACGUAGGUAUAGCCCACCUAACCAGCGCCCCAUGCUGGGUGAUCUACCUGCGCGUUCUCCAGGAUGCAGUGUGGCCCGGGGGGGAGCUGCCUGCGGUGCCUCGGCCAGAAAGGAGCCCAGAGCAGAGAGAGAAGACGAGACUCCAAUGCCUGCACUGCCUCAUGCAGCUGUUCCCAGAGUUAAUUACAGACAUGCUUGGCUCUGAGAAAUGCAGGCUGGUGUGGGAGCAUGUGCUGAAAUCUCUACAGGACCCCAGUAUUAACAGGCACUUGGUUUACUGUAUUUUUGACCUGCUGCUGGAGUUCCUUGUUCCAGAAUUUUCUGAGGAGACGUUCCAGAGGUCUUUACUUCAGAGUCUCCCUGGGGAUGUAGAGAGAACACCAUCAUCCGCCUAAAGACACCAUGUUUCUUUUCUUCCCUCUUUCAAAACUAGUGCAGUGGUUUUGAGAUGAGGACAUUUGGAUGUGUUUUUAUCAGUCUGGCUUAUCAGUUUGGCUGGCUUUGUAGAUAUCUGUUUUUGUCUCUCAGUUUCUAUCUGACUUUCUAACUCGCUGUCUCUUUCAAAUGGGUUCGGAGUAGAAGUUCAAAAUAAGGUUUAAGGCACCAUUUUGAACUUAAACUUACCCACAAUGUGUGGUCUUUGAAUACUGAAUAUUUUCUAUUCAGACUAACUUUCAAGUGAACUUCAUUUCACAUCAAAGUCCUUGGAGACCACUCAAAUAAGCUCUUGAAUGUAAUUGUAGUACAUUCAUAGAGUAUGCACCUUAUAUGCACCUUAUUCAGGACUUUUGUCAAACUACAAGUUAUUUUCUGAAAGGCGUUUCAUCAGCUGAACAAUAGGUAUGUUGUCAGGACAAUCAAUUGAAUGCACUGCACUUCUAUCUCUCACAGCCUCGAUUUUAUUACUGUCAAAAAUUAAAAACAAUGCUACCCUGACUAAGGUCAAUUUAAAUAGGAGAAAGGAAAGUAAUAUUCAAUUUCAAUUGAAUGUUUUAAAGAAAUUUAUUUAAAAUGUUGUUUAUAUUAUCUUCUGAAAUUCAUGACAGUUCUACAUAAAAUACCCAAAAGAAAAACUAAAUGCACCUGCUUAUGUUCUUUUUUUAAUCUCUCGUGUUCUUUCUCUGAGCCUUAUUUUUUGUCCAAACCUCAUACUGCAGUCGAAUCUUUAUAGAUCAUACU
Sinocyclocheilus anshuiensis is the source of this 2038-nucleotide long non-coding RNA. RefSeq lists it as uncharacterized. The transcript is spliced from 3 exons. The record is from RefSeq and is a predicted model, not a curated record. Lineage: Eukaryota; Metazoa; Chordata; Actinopteri; Cypriniformes; Cyprinidae.